UGAAACUUCUAGGUGUUCUUCCUACUAUUUGUAUGAAAUUUUUGAAGCCCACACUGAUGAAAGUUUAUGAACCUUGGCAAAACAUUUGCUGAACCAGUCUGAGUUUCACGUUUACUUGGAACUGAAACCAGGACCACCAGCCAGCACAUCAACCUCCAUUCCCCUUUCUCCAUUUAUAUGACCAUCAUCUGUAAGAAGCCUUGAAAGAAUAACUCAGCCCGUGGGGAAGAUUGCAAAUACAAGCCAAGAGAGUACUCCCCAAGAUAAUCUUCCCUACAUCUCUGAGAAGGGGAGUAAAAGUAAACCUCUGCCCCUCACCUUCUCACCAUCUGCCUGCCACUUCCUUCAGAGCUCAGAGGAACUUGGCCGUCUACUCCUACACCUUCCAAUCCUUCUUCCCCUCUGAAGAAGAGUACAUCAGCAUCUGGAAAUCAUUGGUUAUUUUGUAAUCAUUUUCCUGUGAUUCUCUCAUGCUUAUGUACAUUAUAAAUAAAUUUUGUAUGCC
This 505-nucleotide long non-coding RNA is filed under the name Callithrix jacchus (white-tufted-ear marmoset). RNAcentral describes it as "lncRNA (ENSCJAG00000079685.1)". The record is from RNAcentral. Lineage: Eukaryota; Metazoa; Chordata; Mammalia; Primates; Cebidae.